This 160-nucleotide small nuclear RNA is filed under the name Vigna radiata var. radiata (mung bean). RNAcentral describes it as "snRNA U1". It matches the Rfam family "U1 spliceosomal RNA". From Rfam's summary of the family: U1 is a small nuclear RNA (snRNA) component of the spliceosome (involved in pre-mRNA splicing). Its 5' end forms complementary base pairs with the 5' splice junction, thus defining the 5' donor site of an intron. The record is from RNAcentral. Lineage: Eukaryota; Viridiplantae; Streptophyta; Magnoliopsida; Fabales; Fabaceae.
AUACUUACCUGGACAGGGUCAAUGGAUGAUCAAUAAGGUCCAUGUCCUAGAAUGGNAGCCUUCAUUGCACAUGGAAGGAGUGUUAUUCUAAGGUCUGUCCAAGUGACAGAACCUAUGUCAUAAUUUGUGGUUGUGGAGCCUGCGUACGCGCGGCUCCUUC